Molecule: long non-coding RNA, 394 nt
Filed under: Hordeum vulgare
Lineage: Eukaryota; Viridiplantae; Streptophyta; Magnoliopsida; Poales; Poaceae
Description: long non-coding RNA (HVUL_LNC009883)
Source: RNAcentral
UAGGGACACUCGCGAGGCCAUAUCGUCCUCGCGACCUCCCAUAUACACCCCCACCGUGACACUCUCACGUAAUAACGAGCCGAGGCUGUAUACGCCCCAGGGCUCCCCGAGGACGCGGAGGGGUCCAUCCCACGCCUAGUGGAAUCCCUAUACUCUGCGCUGGGGAGAAGCUUAGUUCACCAAUGUCUCGGGGGUAGGGACACUCGCGAGGCCAAAGCGUCAUCGCGACAUCCCAUAUACACCCCCACCGUGACACUCUCACGUAAUAACGAGCCGAGGCUGUAUACGCCUAGGGCCCCUCGAGGACGCGGAGGGGUCCGUCCCAUGCCUAGUGGAAGCCCUAUGCUUCGCGCUGGGGAGAAGAUGGCGGCAAUCAAGACAGUACGCCAAUGAC